CGGGGUGAGUAAUGUCUGGGAAACUGCCUGAUGGAGGGGGGUAACUACUGGAAACGGUAGCUAAUACCGCAUAACGUCGCAAGAUCAAAGAGGGGGACCUUCGGGCCUCUUGCCAUCGGAUGUGCCCAGAUGGGAUUAGCUAGUAGGUGGGGUAACGGCUCACCUAGGCGACGAUCCCUAGCUGGUCUGAGAGGAUGACCAGCCACACUGGAACUGAGACACGGUCCAG
This 229-nucleotide ribosomal RNA is filed under the name uncultured bacterium. RNAcentral's name for it is "partial 16S ribosomal RNA". It matches the Rfam family "Bacterial small subunit ribosomal RNA", at positions 104 to 334 of the family's 1533-position model. The record is from RNAcentral.